Long non-coding RNA from Triticum aestivum (bread wheat), 711 nucleotides. RefSeq lists it as uncharacterized. The record is from RefSeq and is a predicted model, not a curated record. NCBI's taxonomy places the organism in Eukaryota, Viridiplantae, Streptophyta, Magnoliopsida, Poales, Poaceae. The transcript has 2 exons.
ACAGAGCUCGAGCUGAAGCCUUACAACCUACCAUAUCUCAUCCCGUCCCCGCUCGGCUGGUCGCCGCCCGCGUGCGCGUGCGCUUGCCGGACCUGACCGUGCAGCAGCUUGGCCGGCACCGAAGCCCCCAUCGGGGUCGGCCGGACCUGCGUUGAUUGGCUGGCCGCGGCCCAUGUGCGCUUGCCGGACCUAGCCGUGCUGCAGCUUGGCCAGAAUCGGCGCCUAAAUCGACGUCGGGCGGACGGCGGACCAGCGUCGCCACCCAGUGGCGCGGAGGUUGGUGAGCCGGCACGGGGCGACUACACAAGAGGGCGGCGCCUCGGGCUUGUGGAGGAGCUUGGAGGAGGGGUCGAGGGAGCGAGAUGAAGGACGUCGAGGACCGCAGCUAGAGCGCCAUGGAUUUGAUAUGCCCUUGGAGAGGAAGAAGGGGGACGGGGAUGCUUGGAGGGGGAGAGGGACUGCAAUCUUUGUCUCCAGCUCGGGUCGUCAAUUCUGUCCUCAAGAAAGCCGCCGGGCUGCAGUUCGUGUACUCAACAUCACCUACACAGGACACAGAAUGCGGUCACAGAUUCCUGUAGAAGUUCUACAAGGGUGCAGCACACUGCUUUUUCCCGGCCAACACUCUGGAUCGUGUCACAGUUGAUGGAAAGUGGAUCUUUUAGGCAAACAUAUUUGUGUGCACUGCUGGAUGAGAAGUCUCCCGCAAUGGUU